UUGAAAGGGAAACGAUUGAAGUCAGUCGUACCUGCGGAUAAUCAGCCUUUAGGAUGCGAUUUUGUGGAGCGUGAGGAGCUAAUCGCCUUCAUGCCUGUAUAUUCGUGUACUUGGGGUGUACUUAUUCGUGUGGUAAGUUAACAUCAAUUUUGGUCGUCAUAAAAUGACUGGAGGAAUGUAGCUUCGAUCUCGUAUUGAAGUGUUAUAGCCUUUGGUAGAUGUGAUUAUCGGGAUUGAGGAUUGCAACGGAUACCCUUCGGGGCUACUUGUCUGAUCUCUGAUCGUUGCUCUGGUGCCGAAAGCGUGCUUACGGUUGUCAAAGUCGAUGGUUAAUAGGUUAGAACGGGUUAAAUUCGUUAAGGAUGUUGACGUA
Molecule: ribosomal RNA, 373 nt
Filed under: uncultured Glomeromycotina
Lineage: Eukaryota; Fungi; Glomeromycota
Description: eukaryotic LSU rRNA
Source: RNAcentral